RNAcentral lists this ribosomal RNA (442 nucleotides) under uncultured bacterium. RNAcentral describes it as "partial 16S ribosomal RNA". It matches the Rfam family "Bacterial small subunit ribosomal RNA", at positions 338 to 795 of the family's 1533-position model. The record is from RNAcentral.
CCUACGGGUGGCAGCAGUAGGGAAUCUUUCACAAUGGGCGAAAGCCUGAUGGAGCAACGCCGCGUGCAGGAUGAAGGCCUUCGGGUUGUAAACUGCUUUUAUAAGCGAGAAAUAUGAUGGUAACUUAUGAAUAAGGAUCGGCUAACUACGUGCCAGCAGCCGCGGGCAUACGUAGGAGCCGAGCAUUAUCCGGAGGGACUGGGUGUAAAGAGUUGCGUAGGUGGCAUAAUAAGUAGCUAGUGAAAUCUGGUGGCUCAACCAUUCAGACGAUUAGCUAAACUGUUAAGCUCGAGAGCGUUAGGGGUAACUGGAAUUUCUAGGGUAGGAGUGAAAUCCGUAGAGAUUAGAAGGAACACCAAUGGCGUAGGCAGGUUACUGGGACGGUUCUGACACUAAGGCACGAAAGCGUAGGGAGCAAACGGGAUUAGAUACCCCAGUAGUC